AUGCAGUCGACGGAAACGAUGGAGAGCUUGCUCUUCAGGCGUCGAGUGGCGGACGGGUGAGUAAUACAUAGGAAUCUGCCCAGUAGCGGGGGACAACUUGGGGAAACUCAAGCUAAUACCGCAUACGCCCUACGGGGGAAAGCGGGGGACCUUCGGGCCUCGCACUAUUGGAUGAGCCUAUGUCAGAUUAGCUUGUUGGUGGGGUAAUGGCCUACCAAGGCGACGAUCUGUAGCUGGUCUGAGAGGACGAUCAGCCACACUGGGACUGAGACACGGCCCAGACUCCUACGGGAGGCAGCAGUGGGGAAUAUUGCACAAUGGGCGAAAGCCUGAUGCAGCAAUGCCGCGUGUGUGAAGAAGGCCUGCGGGUUGUAAAGCACUUUCAGUAGGGAGGAAACAGUUCGGGUUAAUAUCCUGUGGCCUUGACGUUACCUACAGAAGAAGCACCGGCUAACUCUGUGCCAGCAGCCGCGGUAAUACG
Molecule: ribosomal RNA, 481 nt
Filed under: uncultured bacterium
Lineage: Bacteria
Description: bacterial SSU rRNA
Rfam family: Bacterial small subunit ribosomal RNA
Source: RNAcentral